AAUGAAGUGCCUGACUAAAGGAUUAUUUUGAUAGAAUAAAUAAAGUAUAAUUUGUACCUUCAUUA
RNAcentral lists this transfer RNA (65 nucleotides) under Megabeleses sp. Its description in RNAcentral is "tRNA-Ile". Lineage: Eukaryota; Metazoa; Arthropoda; Insecta; Hymenoptera; Tenthredinidae. The record is from RNAcentral.